CUAAGCUUUAAAUGGGAGUGAGCAUUACAAUAAAGGCCACUAUCUGUUUAACAAAGUCAACCACAACUUCAGAGUCAUUUUUCAAAGUAAAUUCACGCAGAUGGUGUAUUGACGAUGACCGAACUGGGCGUUGGGCUGUCGUAGUGGAAAGUCGCAGUUAAAAUCUUGCUAGUGGCAACAGGGAUAUGUAUCGUGACUGGAUGUCGGAUACUAGUCGACUUAGCUGUGAAUGAGUACCUGAGCCAAAACAGGGUAAUAAUAGCGGAAGAACGCAAUGCUGACCACAUUGCAUCCUACAGGGAUUCAAUUGGAUUGUCAAACCAACAACUACAUUAUUUAUUCAGUAUACAAAGAAGAAAAGGAAAAUACUCAGGAAAAUUUUUGGAGUCAUAAACUGUACCAGUUAUUUGACUACCGAUCAGCAUCGAUUUUAGUCAAAUUUUGGAAACUACAGUGGGUUUGCCGCAUAGAUCAAAUGUGCAAGACAAAGAUUCCUAAACGAGUGCUAAAAGGCAGAGUCCAUUGUAAGCGACCAAAAGAAAAAACAGAGAAAGGUUGGAAAGAUUUAACUGACGCAGAUUACAGAUUCUUUCUAAGAUUUAGAAAAUGGAAGGUGCGGUCAUCAGAUCGAGAUAAUUGGAGGGUGUACAUUACAGUAGGCAAGAUUCGAUUUCAAUCACAACGACAUCGGAGAAAGAAUAUUAUGCUUUUGCAGAUUGCAAGUUUUACCAUCAGUUGCCUAUUGACAUCUACCAAAUCUUUGAUUACAACAUUGGUCAUAUAGAAAAUAUGGACGGUCAAGUGACAAAUAUGUAAAUUUUUAUGAUUUUUUAAAAAUCUGCUUCGCCUUUGAAGAUAGGAAAAUAUCCUAGACCUUCAGAUGCUUCCCAUAUUCCAGACUUUAAGAUACUUCCUCGAUUGUGAGGGCAGCGCUAUCAAAUAAAUAAGGAGAAUCACUAAUCAUUUCAGCCACUCUGAUAAUUUACGGAAAUCUGGCGGGAGAAAUCGUAAUAAUAUGGCCUCUUCAGCCCAAAGCAAAUAUCAGCGCUCUGAAUACCAAAUAAGGAGAAACCAAAGAUUGAUAUCGAAUGUACGUCCAAGGCUAAAUAAUUCCAAUCGAUCUGAAACAACGCAAUUGUCGGUCGUUUAUAAAGCAUACAAUGAUUUUUGACUUCUUCCUUCCGUCAUUUUCAAUCUCAGAACUACGUGAACCUGUGUUGCUAGGCAAUAUUCGGCCAACUUCUCGUGAAAGUGUUUUCUAUCUUCUCAAUUAUUCUGGUCUCCUUUUGAUUUCAUUUUUACCUUUGUGUGCGGAGUGAUGAAAGCAUUUUUUUUUUGAGUGGUUUAACCUGUGGAAGCAUACAAAAACAGUAAUUGAUAAAUUAUGGUCAACAGAAGGAGAGAAAGAGCUCCGCCAUGCUGUGUAUGCAACAUGCUGGGCCCAACCCUAGAUAAAGGAGGAGAAUCUCAGGCAACAUAUUUAAUACUAUCCCCUGCAAAAUUUGCAGAAAUCAGGGAAAGCAUAGCUGGGAUAACUUCAA
Long non-coding RNA from Hermetia illucens (black soldier fly), 1541 nucleotides. RefSeq lists it as uncharacterized. NCBI's taxonomy places the organism in Eukaryota, Metazoa, Arthropoda, Insecta, Diptera, Stratiomyidae. The record is from RefSeq and is a predicted model, not a curated record. The transcript is spliced from 3 exons.